Molecule: ribosomal RNA, 304 nt
Filed under: uncultured bacterium
Lineage: Bacteria
Description: partial 16S ribosomal RNA
Rfam family: Bacterial small subunit ribosomal RNA
Source: RNAcentral
CAGCAGCAGCCGCGGUAAUACGUAGGGUGCGAGCGUUAAUCGGAAUUACUGGUCGUAAAGCGUGCGCAGGCGGUUGUACAAGACAGAUGUGAAAUCCCCGGGCUUAACCUGGGAAUGGCAUUUGUGACUGUACGGCUAGAGUGUGUCAGAGGGGGGUAGAAUUCCACGUGUAGCAGUGAAAUGCGUAGAUAUGUGGAGGAAUACCGAUGGCGAAGGCAGCCCCCUGGGAUAACACUGACGCUCAUGCACGAAAGCGUGGGGAGCAAACAGGAUUAGAGACCCCUGUAGUCCCUGUCUCUUAUAC